RNAcentral lists this ribosomal RNA (269 nucleotides) under uncultured bacterium. RNAcentral describes it as "partial 16S ribosomal RNA". It matches the Rfam family "Bacterial small subunit ribosomal RNA", at positions 524 to 790 of the family's 1533-position model. The record is from RNAcentral.
UACGUAGGGUGCGAGCGUUAAUCGGAAUACUGGGCGUAAAGCGUGCGCAGGCGGUUAUGUAAGACAGAUGUGAAAUCCCCGGGCUCCAACCUGGGAAACUGGCAUUAGUGACUGCAUAGCUGGAGUACGGCAGAGGGGGAUGGAAUUCCGCGUGUAGCAGUGAAAUGCGUAGAUAUGCGGAGGAACACCGAUGGCGAAGGCAAUCCCCUGGGCCUGUACUGACGCUCAUGCACGAAAGCGUGGGGAGCAAACAGGAUUAGAUACCCCCG